GAUCCUCAUGAUCUUUGCACGAUUUGUGUGUGUGUUUUAAUGGGUUUUGUCUCAAUGACCCCUUUACUUCCUCGAGGCAGUUAGGGUAAUGGUGCUGUCAAAGUCGUUGUAAUCUCUCUACAACAGUGCGUCGCUUAGGGGCGGGGGGUUGAACGUUGAAGAAUGGUAUUUUUAGUUUCUUUAUUUUUCCUUUUCUUACACUUUUUAAGAGAAAAAACUGAUGAAACGAAUGCGACGAUAGACAACCAUAAUGGCUCGGUGCCACUUGCCUUUGUCUUUAGCUUUUGAUUAUUUCUUGGACGCAAUGGUCAUUUCCAGGAAAUUAGAUUUUGGAUUUAUUAUGCAGAUCAGGACUUUUUCUUGUGUACUUCAAAGACCGAUCUUCGUGAUCUUUGCACGUUCUUCGCACAGAACUUUUGCUAGUUUGCCUUUGUAUUUUGUUUUUGAUUAUUUCUUGGACGCAAUGGUCAUUUCGGGGAGAUAAGAUUUUGGCCUUGUUCUGCAGGUCAUAACAUUUUCUUGUAUACUUUAAAGCACCAUCCUCGGGAUCUUUACAUGCAUGGAACUUUCGUGAGGAGUGCCACUUGCAUUUUUCGCCCGUUACAACUCUGCCACUUGCAUUCGCACACUUUAUUUUCACUGGUCCAUGAAUACAUAUUCAUGAACAAAAUUGGGUACCUGUUUAACAGUGAGAGGGGCUUGUUUUCUGAGAAGUUGAAGAACGGCUUGACCUCUUUCUUUGUCUUUGUGUUAGUUGAUCUGAUCUUUUUUCCCAUUUCUCAAUAAGACAAAGACUAAUUCUGGUUACUGUUUUCUUGUAACUAUUGGUAUCAAAAUCUUAAUAGUCAAAAGUUUGAGACAGAUUAUAAACAAAAAUUAAUUACAUAAAUUUUGAAAAACAAUAUAAUAUAUAAUUCAAUCAAAAAUCAGAUUAUCAAAAUCUUAAUAGUCAAAAGUUUGAGACAGAUUAUAAACAGUUACAUAAAUUUUGAAAGACUAAUUCUUGUUACUGUUUUCUUGUAACUAUUGGUUGGUCAACUGGAAUAGAGAAAAGAUGAAUCUAUCAAGAAACAAGAGAAUAUAGAGACAGAGAUACUGCUUUUCUUCUUUACGCAACCAUUUGAAAAACAGUGUGACAAUAAGAUGGAGAAAGCAAUUUCUAGUGUUAAAUAAGUAGAGUGAAAUAUUAAAGAGAAAAAGAGAGCCCGUAUCUAUAGGCGUGAUGAAAGCCGUUAAAUGAAGGCUACCAAAGGUCAACAGUGCCAAUGACGGCUUGAAAGCAAGGCCUUAUUUGAGGAGCUGUAGCAAAUUUUGCAUCCUUUCAGUGUCCAAUUUCAAGGUAAGAAAGAAUGAAAGGCAAAUUGAUAUAAAUGACCAUUUGAUGAGAAUCUUCCAAAGAUUACCCCUGACUUAAAUAGACGGGUAGUGGAACAAAAAUGACUCAGUUCAAUGCAUUAACCAUUAUUUACGUCUCCCUUAGUAAUUCAAGAUCCUGAAAAUUACACAAAAAUGGUUUUACAAGAAUACAGGUGGACGUGCAGGGCAGCGUGCAUUGGUCGUGCGCCACGGGGGCCUGCCCUGUGCGUUCCCUUGAUCUCCUAAUGUUUAGCUAGUAAAUUGAAAACUAUAGGCACUUUGCCUUCAUGUUGGUUAUCAUUUUCGUAGGAAAAACAUUGCAUGGUAAAAUCAGAGUUUUGGGAAUUAUACCUUUGGAUUUAGUUUUUGAUUAUUUCUUGGAUGCAAUGGUCAUUUCACAGGAGAUUAGGUUUUGGCUGUAUUCUGCAGAUCAGGACGUUUUUUUGUUUACUUCAAAGCACGAUCCUUGUGAUCUUUGCAUGCACGGAACUUUCGUGAGGAGUGCCACUUUCCUUUUCAUCCCUUACAACUCUGCCACUUGCAUUAGCAUACUUCAUUUUCACUGGUCUAUAAAUACAUAUUCAUGAACAAAAAUUGGGUACUGUUACAAUGUACAUAGACACAUUUUCGUAGAUAGCACAAUCAUAGAUAGAGAUAUUUAGAGAUUUGCUUAUUUUGUUUCCUUAGAUAGAUUUGCUUGUACACAUAUAAAUAACUCUCAGUCUUGGAAUAAUAUGUGAACUGAGAUUGCUCCAUUGUCUCUGUAUUUUUACAUGAUAUCAGAGCUGCUAGGGUUCAAAAUCGUUGUUCAGAACCUUUUGGCACCCUGAGAGGAGGUCUCGGCUAUUUGGGUCACCCUAAGGAGUGACCAGUUUAUCUCACCAGCACCAUAAGAAGAGACAAAAGGAGAUUUCCAGCAAGAGCCAUCUCCAGUUUCACUCGCCGAUGAUUUUGGCUUGCUGCUCCGGUAUCGCCUCAUCAUUCACGACAUGUUCUGGUACUAAAAUUCUGUUUGGAAGCAUCUUCCUUCGUUUCCAUCGAAAGACUGGUAUUAGUGCCAGCACAUGUUGAUCGAACAGCUGGUAGUGUGCCAGAUGUUUUGUCUGGACGAAACAUUUUAACACCGGGUGCCAAAAUCCCUUUUGAAUUAGCUUUCCCUUUGGUUAAAUGCAUCGCCUUCUUCCUUUCUUCCGUUUCUGUUUUCUCACGAUCAUGGAGGAACUAUGAAGAAUCACCAUUGUUUUCAACACCGUGAUGUUCUCCAUUUUCAACAAUUAAUAGGUGGAUCCUUGAACAGUAAUUCCAACUAGUGAAGAUAUGGUAUAUGCAACAGGUAUUGUGUUAUUCUGCAGAUCAGGACGCAUGAUACUAGUGAUUUUUGCCUGCACCGAACUUUGGUGAGGAGUGCCACUUGCCUUUUCAUGCGUUACAACUCUGCCACUUGCAUCAGCAUUUCUUCCAGAUACAUGCACACUUCACUUUCACUGUUGUAUCAAUAUCGUUCGUUCAGGUGCUGGAUCCAAGCAACACUUGUUACUCCAACCAGUAUAUUUCCUUCAGUUAUAUCAUUGCCUUCCGUCUGUCCCUGAACAUCCAUAGUCUGACCUUUCUCUUCUUCACCAGAGACUCGCUCCAAAGAAUCAGUGACUUCUCUGGUACCAGUGCUUGUGAGGAAAUUGAGUGCAUUGAUUGUCCAGAAAGUUAUGCAGAAAUAAAGGGGUUUCUGGAGAAGAAAGAAGUUCUUCAAGGUUCGAAAAGAUAUUUUGCAGAAAUAGAAGGCUUUCAAUAUUGUCUUAUUUAAUAACCUCGAGCUUGAUGCCUUGGAUUUAUCAGAAAACUUGGUGCGUGCAAGAUCAGGACGUCUUUUUGUAUUACUUCAAAGCACGAUCCUCAUGUUCUUUGCACGGAAAUUCCGUGAGGAGUGCCACUUGUGUUUUCAUCCGUUACAACUCUGCUACUUGCAUCAACGUUUCUAUAAAUAUCGUUUAGGUGCUGGAUAUGCUGGAUCCAAGCGACACUUAUUAUUCCUUAAGUAACUAACCGUUUCCAGUUAUUCCGCUGCCUUCCCUCUUCCCUGAACAUCUGUAGUCUAACCUAUCUCUUUUUCACCAGAGACUCGUUCCAAAGAACAGGGGCUUCAUCAGAUGAAAUAAUUCCAACUAGUGAAGAAAUGGUACGUGCAACCGUACAUAAAGUGAACUAUGUUUUUGUUCCAAGGAUGUCUGUUAUGAAGUUGAUCAAAUUUAACUGGAUCUUGCACAGUGGGAUGUGGGGAACUUUCAACAAGUUGCACAGCGGCUUCAGAGCAUAUCAGACGGCGAAGAAUUCAGAGGCAGCGGAUUCGAGAUGUGCAAUGAUGGCACGAAGCACGAAAAAAAUAUCAUCUGAUGAAGGUGCUGGUACUUUGGAGCGAGUCUCUGGUGAAGAAGAUAAACGUGUGACUAUCGAUUUCUAUGUCAGAAAGGAGGUGGUGGCAUCAACAACUGGAGAUGGAUAGUUAAUCGGCAGAACUGGGGCUGUAGUUUGCAGCCACCGUUCGGGAGUCAUAGGAAAAGUCUUGUUGACCAAAGAUUUGGUCGGAGAGGCAGAAAUGUAUUAGAUCUGGUCUGGUCGAUCCAAUCACGUGACAUUCACUUUUUGGAAGGUGAAAAAGUGAAGAGUCGGACCAGAAUUUGAUGCACGAUUAGUGUUCCUACCAGAUUACCAGAAUUUGGUGCAUGAGAAGUGUUCCUACUGUUCUUAAUAGUGUGAAUUCUCGUGUUCUUAAUUUGUGAAGUCAUGGUUUCAUAUAGAGAUGCCACGAACCCAUGCAAUAAACCUUCCAAAACAUAUCGAGAUUCUACUGAUUCAGAAUUGAGAAUAGCUACAGGGAUGUUAUGGCACGAGUACUACAAAAUAUCAUCUGAUGAAGGUACUUUGGAGCGAGUUUCUGGUGAAGAAGAUAAAUGUGAGAAUGUCGAUAUCCAAAGUCAGAGAGGAGCAAUAGCAUCAACUGGAAACGGGUGGUUACCGGAGGAACUGUGGCUAUCUAUUUGUAAGGGUCAUGCUAAACUUCUAUGUAUAGUUCUGAUUUUAGCGGAUGUGAAAGGACAGGAAUAGAACCUAAUUAAUUUAAUAGAUCAUUUUGACAAGCAAUAAAGAGAUCGAAUUGUUUACUGCUCUUGACGGGAAAAUUUCCAUGUAUAGACUGUAUCUUAUGUUGCUGUCAACAUUUUAAUAUGAAAAUUAACAUUGUUGGAAUUGCUAAU
This is an RNA transcript of Lycium ferocissimum, 4604 nucleotides long. RefSeq lists it as uncharacterized. The transcript is spliced from 4 exons. Lineage: Eukaryota; Viridiplantae; Streptophyta; Magnoliopsida; Solanales; Solanaceae. The record is from RefSeq and is a predicted model, not a curated record.